Molecule: ribosomal RNA, 392 nt
Filed under: uncultured bacterium
Lineage: Bacteria
Description: partial 16S ribosomal RNA
Rfam family: Bacterial small subunit ribosomal RNA
Source: RNAcentral
CCUACGGGAGGCAGCAGUGGGGAAUAUUGCGCAAUGGGCGAAAGCCUGACCCAGCGACGCCGCGUGAGGGAUGACGGUCUUCGGAUCGUAAAACUCUGUUUGUAGGGAAGAAAAGUCACUGUGCUAAUAAGCAGUGAAGUGACGGUACCUGCAAAGGAAGCACCGGCUCACUCCGUGCAAGCAGCCGCGGUAAUACGGAGGGUGCGAGCGUUUAUCGGAAUUACUGGUAGUAAAGCGCUCGUAGGCGGUAUGUUAAGUCAAGGGGGAAAUCCCCGCGGUCAACGUGGGAACUGCCUUUGAAACUGGCAGACGUGAGUGGGUGAGAGGAAAGUGGAAUGCCAGGUGUAGGAGUGAAAUGCGUAGAUAUCAGGAAGAACAUCAGUGGCGAAGGC